Molecule: ribosomal RNA, 254 nt
Filed under: uncultured bacterium
Lineage: Bacteria
Description: partial 16S ribosomal RNA
Rfam family: Bacterial small subunit ribosomal RNA
Source: RNAcentral
UACGAAGGGGGCUAGCGUUGUUCGGAAUUACUGGGCGUAAAGCGUAUGUAGGCGGAUCUUUAAGUCAGGGGUGAAAUCCUGGAGCUCAACUCCAGAACUGCCUUCGAUACUGGCGACCUUGGAGUCCGGGAGAGGUGAGUGGAACUGCGAGUGUAGAGGUGAAAUUCGUAGAUAUUCGCAAGAACACCAGUGGCGAAGGCGGCUCACUGGCCCGGUACUGACGCUGAGGUGCGAAAGCGUGGGGAGCAAACAGG